AUGCCAACUGAGGUUCUAGAUCAGAUCCUUUUGCAUGGAUUUUUUGUGGUCCCACCAGCAGUACACAAUUUCUCCAUAAAAGCUGACAGUGACAUGGGCACAUGUACUGGGUAUAUGGACAGUCAGAUUUUUAGGGAGGUGAAGUUUUUCAUAUACCAAAUAGGAGUUUCUGGCGUUUGCUUUCUGCCCUUGUUUAGAUUACACUUGCUGUCAAUGAGAGUGCUGACACUGCUCCAUGAGGACUUGUUUCCAGUUAUGUCUGCGCUGAUGGAAGAUUUCAAAGUAGUUUCUUUCCUUGGGCCAGAUCACCUCUUACAACCUGCUGCUAAGGCACCCAGGACAACAACAACAGGAAAUUCCUCCAGUCUUUCCUCCAGCUGUGAUUGCUUGAUGACAGUGCCCCAUCUUACCCAGAGAUCAUUGUUGUGCACCAGCUCUGCACCUGAGGUUGCUGUAUGAAUUACACCCUGAAGCAGACACUACCAUACUGAGAAAUGUUCCAAGCAGAACAAUUCUCUAUUUCACUGAUAUCAGUUGAAAAAUGAAUGUCACUGCAAUUUAUUAAUCCUGACAUUGGCUCUCCAUGAAAUACAAAGUCAUAUUCCAUGUCUCAGUGUUAAUCUUUAAUAUCCACAAAGGAGUUGGCACAGAUGGUCAAGACAGUUUCUCCCUGAUGGGAGUGAAAUCCUGAAACAGCUGCUUUCCAAAGAAGCUAUGAAAAUGUCACUUUUGAGGCUGACGGUGGAAAUGAGAAGAAAAGGGGGGCAUUUUGACUCUAGAGUUGUCCUGACUCUAGGGUGGGAAGGUCAGGAAGGCUGGGCCCUUGCAAUAUUCAGCACAAAAUGUGCAUCCUCAACAUGGCUUGCUGCACGGCUUGCUGCACAAAUGGGAAGGAGAAGGGGCCUAAUCGACACAGAAGCAGAAGUGAGAGCAGGGAACAGAGUUCAGGGAAAAAAUGUAAUUUAUGUUAUUGUGGAAGAUAUAUCUAGCCAGACUGAAAGAUAAGUAUCUAAAUUUUAUGUUAUUUCUCUUUUCUUGCUAAAUCCUCAGGUUGAUGGAGUCUUUCAGUACUCUUGUAUUCACUGUUCUUCCACUGACAGAAAAUAGUGUCUUGCCACUAUGUGAAGACACAGAUAUCUGUAUUUUGUCCACUGCUGAAGAAUUAAGCCCUUAUUUUGUGCGCCUUAGGUGAAAAAAAAAAGGACUGUGUGGCUUUUACUCAUAUUCAUUUAAUUACAGAUAAGAGAGUUGAAAAAAAUGUAGUAAAGGAAAAAAUUUGGAUUAAAAUCAAACACACCUAAAAAGUUCUGUGUCUUUAAGAUCCUGAGGGAAAACAGGGAUGUAAGAUAUUGUUAUGACAAGACAAUUUAUGCAUUUAAAUUGUGCAUUUUAAAUUAUGCAUUCUGACUUGCAUUUAUGGCUAGUCAGAAACAAAUACAGAAGUGCAGUACAUAAGAUC
RNAcentral lists this long non-coding RNA (1459 nucleotides) under Phasianus colchicus (ring-necked pheasant). RNAcentral's name for it is "lncRNA (ENSPCLG00000010400.1)". The record is from RNAcentral. Lineage: Eukaryota; Metazoa; Chordata; Aves; Galliformes; Phasianidae.